This 250-nucleotide ribosomal RNA is filed under the name uncultured Actinomycetales bacterium. Its description in RNAcentral is "partial 16S ribosomal RNA". It matches the Rfam family "Bacterial small subunit ribosomal RNA", at positions 81 to 334 of the family's 1533-position model. Lineage: Bacteria; Bacillati; Actinomycetota; Actinomycetes; Actinomycetales. The record is from RNAcentral.
CGGUAGGUACUCGAGUGGCGAACGGGUGAGCAACACGUGGGUGAUCUGCCCUGCACUCUGGGAUAAGCCUGGGAAACUGGGUCUAAUACCGGAUAGGACCGCACUUUAGUGUGUGUGGUGGAAAGUUUUUUCGGUGUAGGAUGAGCCCGCGGCCUAUCAGCUUGUUGGUGGGGUAAUGGCCUACCAAGGCGGCGACGGGUAGCCGGACUGAGAGGUUGGUCGGCCACAUUGGGACUGAGAUACGGCCCAG